This 76-nucleotide transfer RNA is filed under the name Pseudomonadota bacterium. RNAcentral's name for it is "tRNA-Ile". It matches the Rfam family "tRNA". From Rfam's summary of the family: Transfer RNA (tRNA) molecules are approximately 80 nucleotides in length. Their secondary structure includes four short double-helical elements and three loops (D, anti-codon, and T loops). Further hydrogen bonds mediate the characteristic L-shaped molecular structure. tRNAs have two regions of fundamental functional importance: the anti-codon, which is responsible for specific mRNA codon recognition, and the 3' end, to which the tRNAs corresponding amino acid is attached (by aminoacyl-tRNA synthetases). tRNAs cope with the degeneracy of the genetic code in two manners: having more than one tRNA (with a specific anti-codon) for a particular amino acid; and 'wobble' base-pairing, i.e. permitting non-standard base-pairing at the 3rd anti-codon position. Lineage: Bacteria; Pseudomonadati; Pseudomonadota. The record is from RNAcentral. RNAcentral also lists the same sequence under 3 other names.
GGGCCCGUAGCUCAAUUGGCAGAGCCGCCGGCUCAUAACCGGUAGGUUGGGGGUUCGAGUCCUCCCGGGCCCACCA